GGGAAUAUUGCACAAUGGGCGAAAGCCUGAUGCAGCGACGCCGCGUGAGGGAUGACGGCCUUCGGGUUGUAAACCUCUUUCAGCAGGGACGAAGCGCAAGUGACGGUACCUGCAGAAGAAGCACCGGCUAACUACGUGCCAGCAGCCGCGGUAAUACGUAGGGUGCAAGCGUUGUCCGGAAUUACUGGGCGUAAAGAGUUCGUAGGCGGGUUGUCGCGUCGUUUGUGAAAACCAGCAGCUCAACUGCUGGCUUGCAGGCGAUACGGGCAGACUUGAGUACUGCAGGGGAGACUGGAAUUCCUGGUGUAGCGGUGAAAUGCGCAGAUAUCAGGAGGAACACCGGUGGCGAAGGCGGGUCUCUGGGCAGUAACUGACGCUGAGGAACGAAAGCGUGGGUAGCGAACAGG
Molecule: ribosomal RNA, 407 nt
Filed under: uncultured bacterium
Lineage: Bacteria
Description: bacterial SSU rRNA
Rfam family: Bacterial small subunit ribosomal RNA
Source: RNAcentral